RNAcentral lists this ribosomal RNA (230 nucleotides) under uncultured bacterium. RNAcentral's name for it is "partial 16S ribosomal RNA". It matches the Rfam family "Bacterial small subunit ribosomal RNA", at positions 562 to 791 of the family's 1533-position model. The record is from RNAcentral.
AAAGCGUGCGCAGGCGGUUUUGUAAGUCUGUCGUGAAAUCCCCGGGCUCAACCUGGGAAUGGCGAUGGAGACUGCAAGGCUAGAGUUUGGCAGAGGGGGGUAGAAUUCCACGUGUAGCAGUGAAAUGCGUAGAUAUGUGGAGGAACACCGAUGGCGAAGGCAGCCCCCUGGGUCAAAACUGACGCUCAUGCACGAAAGCGUGGGGAGCAAACAGGAUUAGAUACCCGUGU